This 506-nucleotide ribosomal RNA is filed under the name uncultured bacterium. RNAcentral describes it as "partial 16S ribosomal RNA". It matches the Rfam family "Bacterial small subunit ribosomal RNA", at positions 29 to 523 of the family's 1533-position model. The record is from RNAcentral.
AGUGAACGCUGGCGGUAGGCCUAACACAUGCAAGUCGAACGGCAGCACAGGAGAGCUUGCUCUCUGGGUGGCGAGUGGCGGACGGGUGAGGAAUACAUCGGAAUCUACUCUGUCGUGGGGGAUAACGUAGGGAAACUUACGCUAAUACCGCAUACGACCUACGGGUGAACGCAGGGGACCUUCGUGCCUUGCGCGAUUGAAUGAGCCGAUGUCGGAUUAGCUAGUUGGCGGGGUAAGGGCCCACCAAGUCGACGAUCCGUAGCUGGUCUGAGAGGAGGAUCAGCCGCACUGGAACUGAGACACGGUCCAGACUCCUACGGGAGGCAGCAGUGGGGAAUAUUGGACAAUGGGCGCAAGCCUGAUCCAGCCAUACCGCGUGGGUGAAGAAGGCCUUCGGGUUGUAAAGCCCUUUUGUUGGGAAAGAAAUCCAGCUGGCUAAUACCCGGUUGGGAUGACGGUACCCAAAGAAUAAGCACCGGCUAACUUCGUGCCAGCCGCCGCCGUAA